UAGCUGGCGUACUUACAUUGUAUCGUCAAUCGUACAGUAGAUUCCUUAACAAUGAUGUGAUUAAGAGUGAAGAAAGAUUUUAUUGACGGAUUGAUAUUCUUAACAAAAUGACGACUAUUCAGCAUUGGUAAGUCAGUUUUUAUUAUAUACUCAUCUAUACAACUAAUUAUAAUUUUUCUAUAUAAUUCAUUAUAUUCUUGCACUUGCUGCUUUUUACAUUCUGUCGACUUUGUGACUUUCUCUUUCUUUUAAAUAUCUUAUCAUUCCAGACGAUACUUUAAAUGUCAAAAAUAUGUGCUGUUACAUUUAAUAUUUUAUUUGUAUUCAAUAAUGUCCUUAAGCAAAUAAUGUUUGCGUUGGUUCAUUUUUUUUCUUUGCAAUUUAUUUAACAAUAAGCCAAUGCAAACAAAUGAUAUAAUAUGGAAAAAAAAUGUUAAAAAGUAACUGCGUGAUUAAAAUUAUCUUUAAAGAACAGGAAUAAAAGGCUUGUUUAAUGGGGAAAAUUUACCCCAUUAAAUCACAAUAAUUGGUGUUUAUGUCCGUUUUCUUUUUCAAUUUCUUCUAUGGAUUUUAGAUUUUCAAAAUGCAGUAUAAUUGUAUAUGAUGUAAACGACCAUAUCUGUUAUUCUCUUGUUGAGAGUUGUCUGAUUGGCAAUCAUAUCACAUCUUCUAUUUUAUAUAAUUCAUACAAUUGAACAUGACCCAACGUUCUUUGUAUAUUAUUGUGUUAGAAAUUAAACCCAGAACCCUGCAUUUUAAUAGUAACUAAUUAAUGGCAUCAUAGUUCAAAGACAAAAACGUUUUAAUCAGUUAUAUUUACAAUGGUAUACAAUUUUAUUAAAGUGACAGGGGUGGGUCCCUGUUUUACUAGGUUUUUUUCUAUCAAUUGCAAUGCAUUCCCAGAAAAAGACAAAAACAGCUAUAAAUGCUUUUAACUCAAAACAUGAGAUUGUUCAUUUAUGAGUAGGAUAUAAAUAGACUCUUCAAUAUUAUUUGAUAUCCCUACUUGGCUAUCUUUUACCAAAGCAUUAAUAUUUUGAAAGCACUGAGUUUUUUUUUAUUAUUUGUCUUUUAAAACAUAUAUGCUAAAUGCAAUCAUUAUCAUCGGUAUGCACAAUAAGCAUGUUGUAGUUUAGUACGUGGUUGUCGUUGGUUCAUGUCUGUCAUAUUUGUUCUUCGUAAACUGUUUUGUUAUAAAUUAGGCAAUUAGUUUUCUCAGUUGAAUUGUUUCAUAUUUUUCUAAUGUCGGUGCCUUUUAUAUUAUGUGGUUUCUCAUUGUUGAAGGCCGUACAAUUGCCUAUAAUUGCUUAAGUUACAUCCACUUAAUUUGAAUCUUGGUGGAUAGUUGUCUAUUUGGCAAUCAUACCACAUUUCCUAAUUUUCAUAUGUUAGUUCCUUGUUACAGAGAAACACAUUCGUAUUCGAGCAUUCUUUGAAUAACGUUAAAACUCAUAACAAUUUUUGAGUUCUUUUGAGUUUUGUUGUCCAUAUUUAUAACAGUAGAUAUUUUUUUAUCAAGUAUCUCUACACUCAAAUAGUGGUCUAUAAUAACAGUCCAAUUGUAAAAGUUGAAUUAUUACCUAAAGUGCCAUGUCUCGGUUUUAAUUAGAGCUUACACAUUAAGCAAUACAUGACAAUGCUGGUGUGGUGAUUCAUUUUGGGUUCUUCUCUUGAUAUUGAACCACCGCAGUUUGAUUCAUAAAACAAUAAGAAUAAUCAUUCCACAAUACUACGCUUCGAAACCUAUAAUUACACAUCGGUAUGCAAGUGUUCACCAAAAAAUAUUAUUCGCUAUACUGAAAUCACUACCUUAACACCAAUACAUAAAUCAGCUGUCAAAACCUUACAUUCGUACUUGAAUCUUGCAACAUUUUGCAAAAUGAUAACCUGUUAAUUAGUGUUCUUUUUUUUCUAUAUGAGGAUAUGGAUGGGGUUAACAUAUUAACAGAAAAGUGAAUUGUUGACAAAACGGACAAAAUAAAGUGAAACAAAUUAAAAAAAUAUAUAUAUAUAUAAGAUAGGCCAAAAAAUGAAGAAUCGAAAAUGGGGUUCUAUGAUAUAAAUAAAUUGGGAAUAGUGAGCAAAAGUAAGUUUUAUUUUAAAAAAUACAGAAUUAAAGGACUCCCACACAGACCCUCAUAGGGUAUAUUUUAAAUUAUUGCGAUUGUUUAUACACGCCUACUAUUUCACUAUGAACAAAAAUAAUGACUGUUUGUAACAUUUGCCAAUAUUUUUUCAAGGAAGCACUGCAUACUCGCAGUUAAGAAUUUAUUUUAAGCAAGAAGAAUAGGUAAGAUACUAAUUGUGUUGAGCAUAAUAUCGUUUCUAAUCAAAAAUUGUAAACGUACGUCAUAAGUUUAUACCACGCUGUGUUCAUCAAAGAUCGUAUUACGUUCUAUAGCAAUUUAAUGAUAAAACCACUUUUUACUUAUAUAAUAGAAAAAACGUAAUUAUAACCUAUGCAACAUUCUCUUGUAAAACAAUAAAACAUUCGAAGUUGUAGUUCUCUUAAUUUAAAAGACCCCGAAGCACGGUAAGUCACUGACGACACACGAAAAGAGAUUUGUUAUUGUUUUUGGGUUUUUUUCUCACAACUAAGUUUAUUCAAAUUCUUCCAUCAUUAGGUUACCUUGCGGGGAUGUUUGUCAAAAGUAUACAGAGAAAUCAAACCAUAUGCAAUAAUUACAUUGGCAAAGAUAGAUUUUUAAAAGUUGUUUAUUUCUGUGUCAUUUUGGUCUCUUGUGGAGAGUUGUCUUAUUUGCAAUCAUACCACAUCUUCUUUUUUAUAUGAUAUGAGAUGCAUGAAAAGAUCAAUGCACAAACCAAGAUUUAGCUGCCAUAAUUGUAAAGACAAUAUGAUUCAAAUUCGUUCAGGGACGCAAUUUUACUUUUUAUAUUUGAAUUUUUGAAUUUUCCAUACUCGUAAAAAUAUACAGUAUAAAAUUCAUUUGGAUAUUAAUUUGAUUUUCGUUAUCUAUUAUUUUAUUAUUUGUUUAUGCAUAUUAACCCAGCCAUUUAAUUGACUUACAAUUUCAAUAUUUGCACAUAUCUCUUAAAAUUUUACUGUCUGAUAUUCAUAAAGAUUAUUCAUAUCUAAUAUGUGUUUGUCUUUUGAUAUCGAUAUUACAGUAAACAUUCUAUGUGAAAGUGAAUAUAUAUAUUUUUUUUUUAAUUCCUUCAGAUAUUCCCCUUAACUUUCAAUGUUCUACUCAUGCAUUUAUCUAUGCAUGGACCAAUAUAUCCUCAUUUUCAAUUGUCAUUCUAAAUUUCUCGCCCAUCUUUCCAACCGAAUCUUUAUCACAGGACAAACCUUUUGUAUCUAUUGUUAAUUUGUUCUCUUCCUGAACAUGGAUGCCAGUGUGUAUGCCACUGCACAAUAAUCAAAUAACAACCUAUUAAUCGAAUACGUCAAAACAAAACAAAAAAAAGCAAGCAUAAUCCCUAAUCUUCCUACCUUAACACAUAAAUACAUUUUCGUAAUUAGAUGUAGCGUAUGUAGAGCCAAGAUUCUCUACUUGUGAUAGUAUUUGUUAUCAAAAAUACAUCAUUACUAUUUCGUACCGUUUUGUUCACAUGGCAUCAAAAUAGAUACACCACACUACUGUUAAAUACUAAAGGUUGCUGUUGUUUUAGUUUAUUUUUGCUAGGAUGAUGUCAACACUUGCGCUUUAAGAUUAUAAUGAUCGAAACUAGACUUAUUGUCCACAUGCAGUUGCUUAUUAACUAGAGAAUUGAUAUCUUAAAGUUGAAAUCCUAGUUAAAGUUGAAGUGUAGAUUGAAGACCUGAUUUCCUUAAUUACAGGAUUGUUGUAUGAUAGUGAAAUCGUUACUGGCGUAAUGCAUGUAAGACUAUCUUUUUGAAAUGAAGUCGUAGUGUAAAAAAUAAUAAUAAUAAAUUUAAAAAAACAAACGCUUAGGAAAAUUGAAAACGCAGUUUUUUUUAUCAAAUGGAAAAAAUAAAUUGCAAAACACAUCAAACGAAUGAAAAACAACUUUCAUAUUCUUGACUUGGUAUAGGCAUUUACUUGUGUAUAAAAUGGUGGAUAAAACCUGGUUUCAUAGCUAGCUUAACCUGUCUAUUGUAUGACAGUCGCAUGGAAUUCCUUAAUAUUGACAAAAAAAUCUGAGAAAUAGCUUUCUGUUCUGUAUGAGCCAACACUCCGUGUUGACCUAUAAGGGUUUACUUUUAUAAAUUGUUACUGGAGAUUUGUCUCAUUGGCACUCAUAAUCUUAAAUCAAUCCUAAUUCUAUCUUAUUCAUUCAAAUGUGACGUCAUUUUUCAUUUUUUGAUGAUCUGUUUUACAAAUUCAAAUGUGUCGUCAUUUUUUUGUCAUUUUUUACAAUUUCAUAUAUGACGUCACUUUGCGUUGAGGUUUUAACUUAUUCGGAUGUGUCUAUUUUUUGUGUUGCAUUUUGUCGAGUUAUGAAAAGUAUUUCGGUUAUUUCCUGUAAUUAGUUAAUACUUCAGUUUUAUCAUGUAUAUCUUUUGUAUAGUCAUUUUAUAAAAUUUACUGUUUGCAAAAGUAUAAAUUAUUCUAAUAAUAGGGAUGUUCUGGUACCUAACAGAAAACCCUGGCCGUUUAUGGCACAUCUUUUUGAUCUUUUGCUGUUCAACUUUGUACUUGUUUCGGCUUUCAAACUUUUGUAUCUGGGCGUCACUAGUAAGUCUUGUGUGGACAAAAUGCACUUCUGGCGUAUCAAAAUUUUUAACUUGUUGCCUUUUGUUAGCUAUUAUUCGUGUGCUUCUUUGUCAAUUGCGUUCUCCUUUUCAUUCAUAUUGUAGUUCUGUAAUGUUGUGAUGUCAUUUUAAUUAAUAUAUUUCACAUGGUCACAUUUUAAUGUUGUGUUUCCGUUGUGACGUUUGUUUUCUCUUAUUAUUGAGUGUGGAUUCACAUUACUAUAAGACGUGUCACGGUACUUAUCUAUCCCAAAUUCAUGUAUUUGGUUUUGGUGUUAUAUUUGUUAUUCUCAUAGGAUUUUGUCUAAUGUUUAGUCCGUUUCUGUGUGUGUUACAUUUUAAUGUUGUGUCGUUGUUCUCCUCUUAUAUUUAAUGCGUUUCCCUUAGUUUUAGUUUGUUUCCCCGAUUUUGUUUUUGUCCAUGGAUUCAUUUUUUUGAACAGCGGUAUACUACUGUUGCCUUUAUAUACCACCGUCUUCAUAUAUAUAUAAACACAAAUAAAAAAUGCAUAAUAAAGAAUAAAUUACCUUAACUUUAGUUAGCUUAAUCUUCUGAAUUUGGAUCUGCCAUUCUUUGUAACUUUGACUUCAUUUGGCCUUUAAAUAGUUAUCAAAGGUACCAGAAUUACAAUUUAGUACGCCAGACGCGCGUUUCGUCUAUAUAAGACUCAUCAGUGACGCUCAUAUCAAAAUAUUUAUAAAGCCAAACAAAUACUGUAGUUAAAGAGCAUUGAGGAUCCAAAAUUCCAAAAAGUUGUGCCAAAUACGGCUAAGGUAAUCUAUGCCUGGGAUAAAAAAAAAAUCCUAAUUUUUUCGAAAAAUUCAAAGUUUUGUAAACAGGAAAGGAGUAGGGGCUUUAAGGCCUGGUUUUGGCCCAAGAAAAUAAAAGAUGUAAUAAAUGUUUCAAAUUGGCACAUAAUGUUUUGAAAUGCAUAUGGUAAAGAAAUAUCAAUGAAAAUCAUCAAGAUUUUUAUCUGAUGACGUCACAAUUACGUCAUAAUAUGUACUGUUUUCACAAAAACAAUGAAAAUACAGAAUUUAUGCAGUUUUCUAUCUUUAUUUCGGUUGUGGAAACAUCGUGCGCAGCCAAGAAACAACAAAAUAAUUUAACAGAAUCCUUAUAACUAUUGACAUUAUCUCACCAAAUAUAAAGUUGUUUCUUGGGUGCGCACAUACUUUUUCAAUCUAAAAUAUACUUAAAACUUGAUGAAAAAACAAGGAAAAUCAAGAAAUUUUACAUAUAUGCAAAUUAAGUCAUGAUUUGUUGCCAUGGUAACUUGUUCAGUGUCAAAUUUGUUUUUGUUUUUCUGAAAAGCUUGUACCUUAAUCAAGUUUUCAAUAAUUUAAGAGUAUGUAUGAUAACUUCUAAAUUAGCAGUAAUUUUUGGGCCAAAUAAGGGCCUUAUUGCUCCUACUCCUUUAUAAAAAUGACCACAUUAUUGAUAUUCAUGUCAACACCGAAGAGUUACUACAGGGCUGCUGAUACCCUCGGGGACGAAACGUCCACCAGCAGUGGCAUCGACCCAGUUGUGUAAUAUGUUGUCAAAGGUACCAGGAUUAUAAUUUAGUACGCACAAGAUUUUGAUUCGAGCGACAGUGAUGAUUUUUUUGCAGACGCUGUGCGCCCAUUGCCUAGCCACAACAUGCACAUAUUUUAUUCGACUAUAUAUUUAAACUGGAAUAGUAUUUGCUAUGUUAUUCAUUGUUUAUACUACAAUGUAUAUAAACAGUACCUUUAUAACUUAUUAUGCCCAUUUCAUGUAGGAAUAUAUCAUUGUUUUCGAGUCGUUUCGUUGAUUGAUAUAUUAUUAGUACAUUUGCUUAGCAACACAAAAGUAGAUGGUUAGAUUUUUGUCCUUAAACUGUGAGCAGCUGAAAUUUUGAUAAUUUGUAAGCAAAGAUUUUGAGUUCAAUAUAGCGAAUCUGUUACUUAUUAAAAUACUUAUAUUAGAAAACAACUCCCAAUUCGUUAUCAAUGUGAAUGUUACAUAUAAUUGGUAAUGAAAUAAGAAAUAUAUACAAUUUAUUCAGAAUGUCUUACGAGAUUGGAAGUUUUAUAUUAUAUGUGAUUAAAUAGUAGCUUAAUGGUCAGUUUAUUGAACAGAAAACAGUUCGUUUUAUGUCGGAAAACUAUAUGAUUGUAUUGAAAGGCUAACUGUUAUUCAACUAAUUAAAUGGAUAUUCUCGUAAAAUCACUAUUAAACCAAUACUUUUUAUGGUAAUUUCCUUCCACACAACAGACAAUUUCAAUAUUUGAUUAUCUAGCAAGAAAAUGCCGUCUAAAGUUUUUUUAGGAAUCGUUAAAAAUGUCAAACAAACGAUUGGAAAUGUUUGUAUUCUUGUCUUUCAUUUUUGCUUAUGUGCUUUGUCUAUAUACUUUUUGCUUAUGUGCUUUGUCUAUAUACUUUUUGCUUAUGUGCUUUGUCUAUAUACUUUUUGUGCUCCUUUGUUACAUUCUUGUUUGUUUUUGUAGUGAUUAAGAUUAUCACACAGUGUUGAACGCUGUACCCCCUAUUUGUGAAAUUUUACUUAUAAUGUUUGUUUUGUUUUCACAUUGAUGUCAAUAUGAUGGAAUUGUAUGUAACUGUCAUACGAGUGAGAGGUUUAACUAGCUAUAAAACCAGGUUUAAUCCGCCAUUUUUUACAUAAGAAAACAGUUGUUAUCAAUUCAUUUGCUGUGUUUGAGCUUUUGAUUUUGCCAUUUUUAAGGACUUCCGUUUUGAAUUUUCCUCGGAGUUCAGUAUUUUUGUGUUUUUACUUUUUAUAAAUGUACAUUAUGACGUCUUUUAAUGUAAUUGAAUAUCAUGCUUUUUCAUGCUUCAUCCUAAAAAGGGGUAAAUUCCUGAAACAAUUGAACACUGUACAUUAUCUCUAAAACGGAGAUAAAUAUCACGCAGCGAAAAAGUACUGCUUUUAUCCAUUAACUGCAUCCAUAUUGGUGUAAUCUUUGUUACUGCUUUGUCAGGCGGUACGACAACAAACUUGAUUCGUGUGUAGUUUUUGUAUUUCAGUUUAAGUUUUGGUUUUAUGGAGGUGUCUCGUACAAGUGUAUGUCUUAAUGUUAAAAUACAAUACUCAAUUAUAUUUUCAAACUUUUUCUAAGGAAACUAAUGUUUUUUUUCUAUUAACAUUGCGUGUNNNNNNNNNNNNNNNNNNNNNNNNNNNNNNNNNNNNNNNNNNNNNNNNNNNNNNNNNNNNNNNNNNNNNNNNNNNNNNNNNNNNNNNNNNNNNNNNNNNNNNNNNNNNNNNNNNNNNNNNNNNNNNNNNNNNNNNNNNNNNNNNNNNNNNNNNNNNNNNNNNNNNNNNNNNNNNNNNNNNNNNNNNNNNNNNNNNNNNNNNNNNNNNNNNNNNNNNNNNNNNNNNNNNNNNNNNNNNNNNNNNNNNNNNNNNNNNNNNNNNNNNNNNNNNNNNNNNNNNNNNNNNNNNNNNNNNNNNNNNNNNNNNNNNNNNNNNNNNNNNNNNNNNNNNNNNNNNNNNNNNNNNNNNNNNNNNNNNNNNNNNNNNNNNNNNNNNNNNNNNNNNNNNNNNNNNNNNNNNNNNNNNNNNNNNNNNNNNNNNNNNNNNNNNNNNNNNNNNNNNNNNNNNNNNNNNNNNNNNNNNNNNNNNNNNNNNNNNNNNNNNNNNNNNNNNNNNNNNNNNNNNNNNNNNNNNNNNNNNNNNNNNNNNNNNNNNNNNNNNNNNNNNNNNNNNNNNNNNNNNNNNNNNNNNNNNNNNNNNNNNNNNNNNNNNNNNNNNNNNNNNNNNNNNNNNNNNNNNNNNNNNNNNNNNNNNNNNNNNNNNNNNNNNNNNNNNNNNNNNNNNNNNNNNNNNNNNNNNNNNNNNNNNNNNNNNNNNNNNNNNNNNNNNNNNNNNNNNNNNNNNNNNNNNNNNNNNNNNNNNNNNNNNNNNNNNNNNNNNNNNNNNNNNNNNNNNNNNNNNNNNNNNNNNNNNNNNNNNNNNNNNNNNNNNNNNNNNNNNNNNNNNNNNNNNNNNNNNNNNNNNNNNNNNNNNNNNNNNNNNNNNNNNNNNNNNNNNNNNNNNNNNNNNNNNNNNNNNNNNNNNNNNNNNNNNNNNNNNNNNNNNNNNNNNNNNNNNNNNNNNNNNNNNNNNNNNNNNNNNNNNNNNNNNNNNNNNNNNNNNNNNNNNNNNNNNNNNNNNNAACCCCGAUCAAAUGUCUGACCACGUUAUUCCUAUUGAACCAUCAGUAGUUUGUUAAUACAUCUAUUUUAGUCGGUAUUGGGGAAAAGUAAUGAAGAAAAUAAAUAUGUACUAGUUGUAAUUGACUUUGAACUUCAUUUGAGUAAUUAUUAGAACUCUGAAAGAUUUUUUUAUGUCUUUUGUCUCAAUGUUACUUAUUUCUAUUUCUUGUGUGGGUGUGUGCGUCGUGCUGAUUUAUAAUUCACGCCAUUUUCAACAGAUGUUCACAGUUUUCUCUUUAGUUGUGUUUUUACAGCAAUGUCUGAGGAUUGAUCGUUCACAAACACGUUAUAACCUAUCGUAUUGUAUAUGUGCCUGUCCCUAGCCAUACACCUGUAAAUCAGUGUCGUUAGUUGCUGUCAUAUUUGUUUUUCGUUUAUGGUUUAGUCAUAAAUCAGGGUGUUGGUGGUUUUUUUCUCGAUUUUAAUGGUGUUACAUUUUUACAUGUCUGGACCUUUCAUAGCUGAUUAUGCUGUAUGGAUAUUACUCCAACAUAUGUCAAAGGCUGUUGACCUAUAGCAGUUUAAACUUUCAUCCUUGGUUCUUUGGUGGACAGUUGUCUCAUUUGAAAGCAUACCGCACCUUCUUAAUUCUAUACACUUAAAAGAGGACCACUAAAACAAAACAAGAAAAGACCUCAGCGCUAUUAAAAUAGAAGGAAAAAAAAUAUAUUCUAAUAAAACAAAAUCACAAUAAUUGAAAUCAAUGUAAUAGAUCAUUUAAAUAUUCUGAUAUGAAACAUACAAUUCUACACUCCAUAAUCAGCAGCUGUACUUCACUACAGAUUUCAUACCACAACUUAUGUUUUGUCGUAAAUCAGGAUAUUGGUUUUUCCGUCUCAAUGAUUUCAUAUUUUGUCAUGUUUGGGUCUUUUAUAACCGUCUGCUAGUAUAAAGUAUGGGUUUGCUCAUGGUUGAAGGCCGUACGGUGAAAAAUAUUUUCUUAAAUCCGCUUCAUUUUGGAAUCUUUUGGAAAAUUAUCUCAUUUCAUUUCAUUGAUUCUCGUUUUUUUUGUAUAGAUGAUAACAGUUUGUAACAAUGGUAUACUAGUAGUAUAAAACUAUCUGUACAAUAUGCCACAUCAAAUUGAUUUCAUAAGGGUCUUGCCGAGUGUCUUUAGAAUGUAAUCGCUUUUCAAUAUUCAAAUUUCAAUAAUUUAACAUCUGACAAUUGUGUGAUCUUAAUUUUUCCCUUAUAACAAAAAAUAUACAAAUGUCAGUAAUAUGAAUAACUGUCCUAGAACAUACGUACUGCGUUACUUUAAAAGUAAAUUGGCAUAAUUUCACUAAAGAGUCUUCUGUUCAAUUUAUUUUAGAUGUAGUGAUGUUACAUUACCACUUAGCGAUGGUGUAAUUUAAAUUUAUCACUUUCUUGGUAAAAUCGAAAUAUAUGUUUGAACAACACUGUUUCAUGAGACUCGUUCUUAACAAUCGUUUAUUGUAUCGUACCGGCUACCGAUAAAAAAAACUGUUUGAAGAUCGAAGGAGAUAUAUUUAUUGUUGAUAAUUUACUGAAUGUUCUGACAAUCUAAAUAAUGAUGUAAUUGACGCAUUACUACACUGCCAUUAAUCAUCUACCUCGAGCGUACUGUGAAGUUUAGAGAUUAACGCUAUGAGCAUCAGCGAUUAUGGCUGCCUUUGUCUAGAAACUGCUGGAAUUGGGGAUUUUUCCUUCAGAUACCUGCUGAUAUGCUAUUGGUAUUUGUUUUCAAAGCCAUAUCUCCUUAACAACUUGUAAUAACAUCAUUCAUUUAACAAACAAAAGUGUCUAGUUGUCAAGAAAUUCAAUAGACUUUACAAAAUAAAAAGGCUGUGUUUCUUAUACAUUCAAAUGACAAAUAUUUACUCUAUAGAUUUGUUUGAAGCGUCAUCAAGAGAUAGAUACAUACUUAUAUUACAUGAAGAGUAAAUAAACUUAAAACUACUUAAAAACAAUAUUUUGAAACAAGCAGAUACUCUAGUGAGUUAUAUUGCUUUUGUAGUACUGAUACUGCAUGUUGAACUGAAUUUUUAUUAGAUUGUCGAUCUUUGAAAUUUAUCAAGUGUUUUUUAAAGAUCUAGUGUAAUUGUGUGUAAGAUAUUAUUAAUUGAUAGUCUUCCUGUACUUAUAUUAGUGCGUGCACUGUCAUGCACAUGUUCAAGGUGAUAAGGAGAGGUCCUGGAUCUAAAAAAAAACAUAAAUAUAAACCCAGAGCAUGUUAAAAUAUUUGUCCCAACUGUUUCUCAAUCAUUUGUUCAGUUUUUGUUCUGUGUUUUCCAUAAUUUGAAUAAGAUAUUUUGUCAAUUUUUUGUUUAUGUUUGAAAUAUUGUACAGAUAUUUUCUAUAUUGUUCAGAACUUUUGAGUUGACCCUUAUACAUCUUUUGGUCAUUUUAACGUAUCCCCUUCAAUAAUUAUAUCGCCAUUAUACAUAGAAUAACACAAAGUCUUCCUGUACUACUGUGGAUUCAUUAUUUUUCGUUGGAUACCAAUUUUCGUGGAUUUCGUGGGUACAGAAUAAACCCCAAAAAUGUUCAACGAAUUCGAAAUUUUCUAUAGGCUUGUAUUCAGAUUUUGGCUAAACCACAAAAUUAAAUAACCACGAAAAUGUAAAAUUUUCUCAAUCCACAAAAUUUGGGGCCCACGAAAAUUAACGAAUCCACAAUAUGAAUGAAGUUGUUGUAUGAAAUCUACUGAGAAGUUCAGUGUUGAUUAAAGACUGUAGGAAAGCAUUGCUUAGUAUUGGAAGAUAUUUUCCUAUGCUAUGUUCCUUGUCAGUUUGUCUAUUUGUCUGUUCGUCAGUUUAUUUUUUAUUUAUGAGUUUGAAUGUCCCUCUGGUAUCUUUUGAUCCUUUUGUAGUUCUUUCACCUUGCUUUCAGUAACUACGAUCAUGCUUUGGUACAUAAAUAUGUCUGGGUCUACCCAAAGAUCGACGUCUGUAAAAUGCAGCUCAAUGUGUCGGUGUAUAGUACAUAGCAGAGUUCAAAAUUCAUAUCAUAAUUACAUGUUCUCGUCCUGAAUAUUCCUUCAAUUUGCAACUGGAUUUUAAUCAGUCAUUUCAUCAUCAUAGUCACCCUGUUGGUUGUUAAUUGCAAUGUCUCAAAACAAUGAUUUCGUACGGAAUGUUGUAAAAAAUAAUAGCAGACCUUAUCAAAAUUUUAUACCGAUUAUAUGCUUCGUUUUAUCUUUAAUUUUCAAUUAUAAAUAUGUUGAUAUAUUUUUUUUGUUUAUCAUGUGUUGUUACCUAUACAACUGCUAUAGUUCCCGGAGUCAAUAUACAAAUCAUUGCUUCUCCAUCGCUAGUAAAUAUAGAUCCGUUAUCACCCUUGUUAUAUUGUAUCAUGCAUUGAAGUAGAAACUUAUCGCUCAAGGCAGACGACAUUUUCCAACUGUGAUUGGAAGUGAAACGCUAAAGAACGCGAUCUCUUGUCAAUUAGAGCUGUUUGUCUUUAGCGUAAACUUCCGAUUUUCAGUUUCUGAUGUGAAAGACAAAUAAAUCACUAUUUAUUAAUUUUUUGUGGAAAAAUAAUUGAUAAACAAAUUACUUUAUUAAAUAUUCGUUAUCGGUUGUUUGUCAGAAAACUGUGUCAAAAACGAAAUCUAUUUCACAAAUUAGCAUUUGGAUAGCUACGAAGAUAAAUGGUAAAGCUAUUAGAUAGCAAAAAUAACUUCCUUGAUCUGAAAUGUAACAAACAUUUCAUGGUGGGCACUAAUAAUUCGCAUCAUAAAUUGGGUAAAUUAUGAGCUUGAUGAUAGAAGUAAGACAAGAAAACAACAGUGCGAGAAAAUAGUGAGAAGUGCAUUGUGUGUAACAUUUUACAAAGUAUUACAAUAAGAAAUAUUACAAUAUUGUUAUCAUAGAAAUUCAAACAGAUUUUUAAAGAAUUUGACAAGCUUUUUGAAUAUGUCAGUUACGCAUUAGGAAUUUGAAGAAUGUUUGCACUAUGUAUCGAUUGUGAUAAAGGCAAAUUUCAAAUUUGUUUUCCUCAUUUGUCUGCUUAAAAUUCUUUUUUCUCUGGCCACAGUUAUACUUUUCUAGCACACAACGAUUGAAAGUUGACAAAAAAGAGAAGUCGAUUUUCAUCAAACGCAAUUGCUUACAUCAUUAUAUAUAAAAGGUAUAAAUGUAUAUAAAGUGUGUUUUGCUCGUUCCUUUUUUUUUAUUAAUCUUUUUUCUAUGUAUUUUACAGAAACACCUUCUGGUGGAGUAAUGUCAUGAAGGGGAAAUUUAUAUCGUCUGUAGUUACACCACUACUAUGGACGAUACUAUCAACUGUUUCAACAACUCUGAGUACCAGUCCAAUUAUACAAACCAACAAGGGAUUAGUUCGAGGCAAACGGCUCACUUUACAUCACGGCAAACACGUAGAUGCAUUCUAUGGAAUUCCCUAUGCAAAACCACCAGUCGGUGAGCUUCGUUUUCGCCAUCCAUUACCGGCCGAUGAAUGGCCUGACGUGUUCGAUGCUACUCAUCUCCCUAAAUCAUGCAUUUAUUUAAACGAUUCUAUGUUUAAGAAUUUUAAAGGAGCUCAGAUGUGGAAUCCGAAUACUCCAGUCGACGAAGAUUGCUUAUAUCUAAAUGUAUGGGUACCUCGGUCAAAUCCUCCAUUUCAAAAUAAAGCUGUAAUGAUAUGGAUUUAUGGUGGUUCUUUCAGUUUCGGAUCAUCAGCCUUAGAUGUAUAUAAUGCAAAAUAUUUAGCUGCCGAAAACGACAUUAUUGUUGUAUCUAUGCAAUAUCGUCUAGGUUCUCUGGGAUUUUUAUCGUUUGGCGAUUCAGAAGCUCCUGGGAAUGCGGGAUUAUUUGAUCAGUUAGCAGCUAUUGAAUGGGUCCAAACAAAUAUACAUAAUUUUGGAGGUAAUAGUCAUAAUGUUACAUUAUUUGGAGAAAGUGUUGGUUCUGCGUCAGUCGGAAUACAUAUGCUUUCACCUCUCAGUAGAGGCAAGUUUCAGAGAGCAAUUUUACAAAGUGGAGCACCUCAAGCAACUUGGGCUACCGUUACUAAAAAGGAAGCUUUCCGCCGAUCAACAGAACUGGCAAAAGCUUUCAAUUGUUCCCAAAAAGAUGUGAAGAUGACGCUGAAAUGUUUGCGAGAAAAAGAAGGUUCACAAUUUCCAUUGAAAGAUUUUUCUCCUACAAUAGCUUAUGGCAUUAAUCAGUUUCCAUUCGUAGCUGUAAUAGAUGGUGUUUUAAUUCCUGAAUCACCAAAAAUGGCAUUUAAUAAUCUUCAUUUCAAGAAAACACCAAUACUCAUUGGGACAAACAUAAAUGAAGGGAAUUAUUUCCUUGUGUAUGAUAACCCAGAUUAUUUUCCUCUUAACUUUUCAGAUAGUUUAAACUUAAGCAGGUCUCAGUUUCUCGACUGUGUUCGUCACUUUUUCAAGUACUAUCCACAAUAUCCAAAAAAGCUUAAUUCUUUUGGGGAAGAGGCAAUAAAAUUUCAAUAUACACCGUGGAAAAAUCCUUAUGACCAAAAGUUGAAUGCAUUAUCGGUAGAUCAAGCAUUUGGCGAUAUGAAUUUUGUGUGCCCAACUAUAGAUUUUGCUGACCGAUAUGCGUUAGCAGGUGUUCCAGUCUAUCAAUAUCGUUUUGAACAUAGAUCAACAGCACAUUUUUGGCCAAAGUGGAUGGGAGUUUUACAUGGAGAUGAAAUAAACUUUGUUUUUGGAGAACCUUUGGAUCCAACAAAAAAUUACACUCACAUUGAGAAGAAGUUUAGCAAAAAGUUAAUGAAAUAUUGGACAAAUUUUGCCAAAACUGGGUAGGUAUAGAAUAUUAUAUAAUUAGCAUAAAGUAACAUAAUGAUGUAUCUCUUAGUUGUAACUCAAACAAAGUGAAAGCUUUUGAGAGAAAAUUGAGAAAUAUUGUUUUGAUCGUGCAUCACAAGUCAUUUUUCCGUAGAAGUUGAAAAGUAUUUGUUGCAAAACAAGGGCGAGAGAGACAUUCAAAAUCAUAGAUCGAAAAUAAACAAACUAUCAAACAGACAAAUAAUAGUACACAGGCACACAAUAGAAAACUAAAGACGAAGCAUAACGAACCUCACCAAACAUUUCAAGUAUUUAAAUAGACAUUAUUGCCUCUUACUUCAGUCAAUGGUCAAUAUUAGAAGGUUGUUUAAAAUUGAUGAUAAUGCCCGUAAAACAAUAUCAAAAUUUCAACAUAUUUCUAACGAUUCGAAAUGUUAUUCCGUACUACAUAUUGCUGUUGAAGACAAUAUUGCCAAUUUUACUUCUUUUAGUAAAAUAUUUAAUCGAAGGACAUCAUGUAUGAAAAUGAAUUGAUAAGAAUCGGAAUUAAUUUAUCGAAUAAUUUUCAAUAAAAAUAUUCCUUCCAAUAUACAUUACAAUGCAUAAUUGAAUGCAAGGGAUGUUUACUUAGCGUACUAUAACCCCAAACAAAACCUAACAAAAUAGCCAAACAUGUCAAAGGAUUGAUUUUUAUACAUUUUUUAUAGAUUUAUCAAAUUUACUUUACUGAACUUAUAGGAAACACAUUCCGGCAGAAAAGAAAUAUACAAUAAUCCAUAUAUAUAGUUCUAAGUGCCAUUCUAACAAAAAAAUCAGACAGUGGUAAAAACAUGACACACGAAACCCCCUCAAGCUUAUAUUAAUUUAAGUUCGUUUCCAUUUCCUUUUUGAUAUUUCAAAAUAUAAUUUGGUUGAAACGCACUAAAAUUUAACAUUCUCACCAAAAGUUGAUCUAAAUAUAACCAGACACACAGAAACGAAAGGCCUCCCAUUUCGGGAUGAGAUUAUCUUUAAAUUAUAAUAGUUAGAUCGGCGUUUGGGUGUGUUUUUUUUUUGUCAUUUUGUCUUCAAUUUUUCUAAAUUCUGGCUGAUUCUUAUAAAGACCGGUGACUGACAUUGCCAUAGCAAAACAAAGGAAAACGAUCAAAAGACAAAUAAUAGCACACAAAACACAACAUAGAAACUUAUAUGAACCUCAUCAAAAACCAAGGAUGAUCGUAGAUGCUUCGGAAGGGUAAGCAGAUCCUGUCCCAUAGGUGGUAGCCGUUGUGUUGCUCAUUUAAAUGUAUAUACAUAUACCAUUUUAACACUAAACUUUAUGACAAACGCAAUGAUCCGGAUUCGAGAUAGUGUUGUUUUGUUUUAUCUUUGCUGCAAUUUUCCUGCUUUUCUAUGUUUGUAUAUGUAUAGUAUACUUUUGAAUACUUUUUAACUGCUUUAAAGUUGCCAUCCCGAUGAAAACAGGAAAGAGCUCAUGUGCUCUAUUGUGUGUUCUGUACACUGUUGUUUGUCUGUUGGUAUAUAUUAGAAAUCAUUCAACAGAUUAAAGGUUAAAGGUGAAGGAAAAAUAAAUUUGUCCAAUCGAAUUGCGUAAGAUUAAAAAACAAUGACCAGUACAUAUCACAAAAAGUGGUAGGGGUGAUUUAUGUAAGGUGUAAAGGCAGAUUUUCUUGUUAUCACGACCAAAUGAUAAUAAACCAAACUUUUUGCUAGUAAUUCAAAAAACCUAUAUCUCUGUAUUGAUAUAGUUUUCCAAUUUGUCAGCGAUUCAAAGUUUGGACUCCAAAACUCAUCAAAAUUAUGGACAGCAAAUUCGUUUUAUUGGAUCGUAGUCCUUUGACAAAAAAACACACAAACAUAGCACAAAUUUCUAUAAACGCUGCAAAUAUCCUAUGAAAACGAAUGAUGUUUCAGACUCUAUUCAAGUCAAAACUUUGCAUAAUCAGUUAAAAUAAAGCACCGUCUAGUUUCUAGUACUGAAACACUUACAAUGAUAUUUGAUGAAUAUCAAAAGGUAGUUGUGUAAGAUGUUUACUGUCCAUGAAUUUCUUGUAGAGAUCCAAACAAAGAGCAGGUUGACGGUGAAAUAAUGAUGUUAGAUGAAUGGCCAGUUUAUACGAUAGAAGAACGUAAAUACCUCAGACUUACUACGAACAUUGUGCAUGACCAUGAACAAAGGAAUACAAUAGGAAUUGGACCUAAAAUUCAAGACUGUGCGUUCUGGAAUGAAUACUUGCCAAAUUUAGUUAAGGAAACAGGUAAGUCUUAUACAAAAUAAAACAAUUUACAUACACAAUUUGUUAAGUAGAUAAUUUGAAAUAUGUGUUUUAAAGGACUACAUGUGUACAGAAUUUAUGAUAAUUUUUAUUAAUUGCAAAACGAAUUGAACACCAUAACAAUCAUAAAAAUCAAAUAAAAAGUAGCUUCCAUUUGAACAACUGACAACACAAAAAAUGUGACUAUAUCAAAGAAUCGUUAAUUUUAAGGUAAAUUAAUAUGAAGCUAUGUAGCUUUUUAUUACCCAAAUAUAUGUUCUGGAAACAUCUCGAAAACUUAAAUUUCUGUAUUCUAGCGUAAUGAUUAUUUGCCAUGAGAGUUUUGAGAUAUUCUAUAUUAAAACUAAAAAAUGAUCUAUAAAAUAUUGAAUUGUUCGAAACACUUAGGCUUUCUCUCCAAUAAAGACGUCUCAAGUUGUUUUGGCAAAAAAAUGGGGGGAUUUUUGGCUUUCAAUUGAUUUGCUACUGAUAAUCGCAUGCAAAACGUAUGUCCGACGUAUAUAUUUGAAAGCGUGGUAUCUGAGAUGAGUUUCAUUAUAUAAAUUACCACAUUUGUAAGAACUGAUAUAAAUUAAGAUAUAUUUUCAAAUCAGUUAUGAUUAUGAUUAUAUGUCAAAGUUUGAAAAAAAAAAAUACCAUUAUGAAAUUUUACACAAAAUUUCUUCUUGGUUUUUUUUCAAAAUUAAACAAAUCGUAAUUGAUCUCUUGAAAUCGUCUGCUUUGCUUCAUUUUCACCAGGAAGGAUAAAAAUCAAACUUGGGUUAUGAAUGCCAAAACCUUUUAAACGUUUCUUUUACUUUUCCUUUUUCUUGUGCUUAUCUAAGUCGGUGCAUUUUUUCAUCUCUAAUUUAUAUUUUUUUUCAAUUUUAGUAAAGCAAUUUUUAUUAUUGAAACUUGUAUAGAAUUGGAUUUUAUAUGAAAGGUAUCCUGUUUUUCUUUCACUUGGCAUUUUUCUAUGAAAAUUUUUAUUUUGCUUUGUUCCAUUCUUCCAUAUUUAUAACCUCUCCUCUUUUUUUUCUGAUGCAGGAUGACUCCUUUUUCGAUAUAAUGCUUAAAAAAUAAGAGAAUGUUUGACAUCCUAUUUUAUUAUAGAUAUCUUUAUAGUUUAAAGUUAUCACGUACCAGGAUUAUAAUUUAAUACGCCAGACGCGCGUUUCGUCUAAGACUCAUCAGUGACGCUCAUAUCAAAAUAGUUAUUAAGCCAAACAAAUACAAAGUUGCAUUGUGAAUCGUUCGAGCUCAAUGAAUAUGUCACCAUGAUAAAGUCCUAUGUUCUAUAUUAGUAUAUUGCUAGUGACAAUUAGUAUAUUGCUAGUGACAAUUAGUAUAUUGCUAGUGACAAUUAGUAUAUUGCUAGUGACAAAAGCCAUGUUUUUUUUCACGAACAUGCUUUUUGUAGCCUGUAAAUGAAGAGUGAUUGUGAUUGUGAUAAAUAUAUGUACUAACUUGGACUCGAUGUCGCAUUACUAGUGUACUAAUUUCUUUCUUAAAAAAAUGUUUUGUUUGUAUUUCUGUUUUAACGUAAUAUUCAAUAUCUAUUAUCAUUUGACUCAAUAACUUGAAUGUGCAUCAGAAUGAAAAACAUAUCAGUCGGUGCAGUUUUUUGUGUUCAAAUAUGUUUCGUUAUUGUUGCUGAUGUUUUGGGGAAAAAUAUGAGAAUGAAUAUGAAUAUACAAUAUAUUUCUAUCAAAGAAAUUAAAUAUUUGUCAUGACAUUAUAAUGAAUAAGCGACGUAUGUGAAAGUAAAAAGUGUAUGUAAAAUCCUAAUAAAAACUGGUACUAAGCAUCACAUAGCUUGGAUGAAAUUUUGUAAAGCAAAUCAAUUUCGUAACAUUGUGUUUACUGUCGAUAUUAAGGUAUUGUUAACUGUAUUAUUGCACAGUCUUGAAAAUAACUUUCUGAUUUGUGAUUCGCUCUGUUGUUUCCACAAUGUGCUAAUUGCGGUUUUUUUAACGACCAAAAUCGAAUAUUUCGUUGUUUCAACUGCAGUUUUCUUUGUACUACCGUAGAUGCGUGUAACCUGAGAAACAAAAUUACGCAAACCAUUUGUAAAAGCUUUGCAUGUUGAACUAACAUUUCCAGGUAGGUGAAUGUAUCUUGUUAUUAGCUUUAGCUUAAUUAGUCAAACAUAUUGAAGGUUACGUGGUACAGUUACAAAACCAGCUGCAAAAUUGUUAGAAGAGUAAAAAUUAAGGGUCAUUAGUUAUAAUUUCAAUCCAUCAUCGGAAUGAAUAAGAAGUUUUGAUGAACUAUUAUGCAAAUAUUUCUUUUUCUCUCUGAAAUGCACCACGCAACCUUGAAUACAGUAGUUAUUAUUGACCAGUGCUUGUUAAUGUUCUAAUAUCAAGUAUUAAAUCAUGCUAUGUCUUUACUUGCUUGGUAUGAUAUUGCAGUUUGCUUCAUUUAGAUUCAUUCAUGACCCGUAUAAAGACUAAUUAUCCAAAAUUCAGAACAAUAACUUCCAUUUAUCUGAUAUUUUAUAUUAGAUUGAAUGUAACUUGUUCAGUAACACAGAACCAUUUUCGUUUAGAAAUCUAGUUAACAACUAUCAUACUGGAGUAAAUUGUUUUCUUUAUCUCCAGCUUACUUGGUCAGCACUUCCGUGUUGAUGUGAAUUAUCACUGAUCCGAUCAUUUCAUGUAAAUGUACUGUUCAUAAAAUGUUAAAAAAAAAUAUAAUCGAGAAAAUGUACAAAUUGCACUAGAAGAUAUACUAGUACCAACUUGUGUAUAUUAACGUUUUUUAAGGUAACCCAAAACAAAUCGUAUUCCAUAUGAUCCCAAAAACUGUAAAGAUGUAUUGGCAGAUAAUGUGCGCAUUAUUGCUAAUCACAGCGCCAACAAGGAGCAGAACAAUCAACAUUAAUUUCAUACUUAUGAUUACAAGUGAUUCAAUACAUUUUAACGGAUCUCAAUUGUGUAAAUAUAACAAAAAUUACACUACAGAAAAUGUUUGGAGUUCUGAAGAUCUACCCAGCACCUAAAUUAUUAAAGUAGUGAUCUUUGUCUGAUCAGAAGUGUGCCUACAUUACUUAUGAUGUUUAUAUGUUAUACUAAUAUUGCUUCGCUUCUCUAGAAUUAAGCUAUUCCAUUAGAACAACAUGAUUACUGUCACUUGAACAUCUCAGUCAUGGUUAUAUUUAGCCGAAACAAAAAUUAUCAUAAUUUGCGCACUUCAACACGUAUUGAUCUAGUAUGAGAAACACAAUUGAUGUGAAAAAAUUAAAAAAACUAAAUUACCGAGGAAAAUUCAAAACGGAAAGUCCCUAUUAAAAUGGCAAACAUAUUUCCAAAGGAGAUUCAGUACUAACACAAAAAAGUAAACAACUGUAAAGUAAAAAUGUAAUCCAAAAUCAUGCAAGUGAGAGGUUUAGCUAGCUAUAAAACCAGGCUUAAUCCACCAUUUUCUACAUUAGAAAAUACCUGUACCAAGUCAGGAAUCUGACAGGUGUUAUCAAUUCGUUUGAUAUGUUUGAGCUUUUGAUUUUGCCAUUUGAUUAGGGACUUUCCAUUUUGAAUUUUCCUCGGAGUUCAGUAUUUUUGUGAUUUCACUUUUUGUUGUAUUUUACAAAUUUAUUUGAUAAAUCAAAUCAAAUGUUGUUAUAACAGUGAUAUUGUUUUUUUUUAAUUACAGCGGAUACGUCAGAGGUGGAGAAAGAAUGGAAAGUAAAGUUUGCUGAUUGGUCAGACCAUUUUGAUAACUUCUUAUUGGCAUAUGAACAUCGUCUUCAGUCCUGUAAUAAUGUACCAUAAACAGGUUUUUAAAGUAACCCUUGUGAGAUAUCUCUCAUGACUGCAUAUUUAUUUAUAUAAACUAUGUCACGUUGCACCCUCUAUUGAAUUCACUUAUUAUUUGUCGUUGAAACAUAAAUUGCAUUUCAUACAAAAAAUAUAUUUAUCUACUAUUAAAAGUGCUUACAAAUAUGAAGUACAGAUAAUGUACAUCCAUUAUGUUAUAUUUCUUUUUUGUGAAGUUCGAAUUAACAUUUUUAAUUAGAACCUUAUUUUUACAAUAAUUGAUUAUUUAAAAAUAUAGUUUAAUAUCUUUUAAAAGAACUAAAUGAUACUUAUAAAGUACUCUUUGUAGGUAAUUGUCUUCUUCAAUAAGGAUUCUCUUUUCCCUUUGAUCUCACGGGUGCUGUAGCAUAUGAUUAUGAGUGCACUGAAUAUAAACUAUACUAUUUGCACGAAAUCACUUGCAUUAACGACAUUAAAAAAUACCGGUAGCUAAUGAUUUAUUUGUCGUUGUUUUCUUUUUUAUCGUAAUAGUAUUGUAUCAGUGAAUUUUGUGAACAUUAUUAAACACAAUUUCAUAGUAACUGUUAAAAUAAGUUCCAGUUUCCUUAUACAACAAAGCAGAGGCAAUAACAUAGUUAUGGAAUCAUGCAGGGAAAACUUAUUGUAAUAUUAUUCUUAAAAAUAAUAUUUAUGUAUCAAUAUCAUAUUCAAAUGAAAACAAAUAUCGUUUAUUUUUUAUUUAUUUCUUUGCAAUAUAAUAUGUUAGUGUUAUUUGGUAGCUAUUGUUCUAUAAAUUUGUAUGUUUAAUAUGUUUCUUCAUUUCUUUUUACAUGUAUAUGUCUACCAUAUAUCUAAACGAUACAAUCGUCCCAUUUACCUACAUCUGUUCCCCCGUUAUUUUGAUAGCGUUCGAUUUUUUUCAGUUUUUAUGAACUUCCCAUUGAGUUCGGUAUUUUUCUUAUAUAGAAAUAAGAUGUGGUAUGAGUACCAAUGAGACAACUCUCCAACUAAGUCGCAAUGUGUAAAAAUUAAACAAUUAUUGGUCACAGUACGGUCUUUUAUACAUUUUUUAACCUUUCAACAC
RNAcentral lists this long non-coding RNA (21670 nucleotides) under Mytilus galloprovincialis (Mediterranean mussel). Lineage: Eukaryota; Metazoa; Mollusca; Bivalvia; Mytilida; Mytilidae. The record is from RNAcentral.